Molecule: long non-coding RNA, 10377 nt
Filed under: Physcomitrium patens
Lineage: Eukaryota; Viridiplantae; Streptophyta; Bryopsida; Funariales; Funariaceae
Description: long non-coding RNA (PPAT_LNC002235)
Source: RNAcentral
AAGUUGAAGCAGUAUGGAUCAGAUCUUGAUAAUCUGAAAUAAAAGUUAAUUAAACUAAAUAAAUAAAAAUAAAAGUAAAAUAAUUUAUAAUAUCAAAAAGGUGAUAUUUUACAAAAUUAAUUUUGAUGCCAAAAACUAUAAAUCAUUGUGAGCUUUUAAAUGCAUAGAAAAAAUGUAAGACUAUUCCAUGAGGUUACAAAAUGAAAAGUUGAAUUUAGCAUUCUAUUCGCUUAAUUUUUGCAAUAUAUCAAAAAUAUUAUUCUAAAAUCAAAUAUCUUUUAAAUAGUUCAAAAUCUCCUCCAUUUUUAUGUAUUUUAAAGAUGUUCAUUGUAAAUUCAAUUUUACUGUAAUUUUAAGAGAAAAUUUCAUAUAUACCCCCAAAUAUUUUGAAAUAUUAAGAAUAUCCCUACAUUCUUAAUAAUAGCAAAUGUACCCCUCAUUGUGAUAUCCUAACAUAUACAAUGGGUACAUUUCUUAUUAUCAAGAAUGUAGGGAUGUACUAAAUAUUUCAAGAUAUUUAAGGGGUGUAUUUGAAAAAAAGUCUAUAUUUUAUAUUUUUUAACUCAAUAUUACAAAUAAUACAAGAUAUGCAUCAUGUUAUGAUUUGGAAUAUGUCUCUUAAAUCAAAGAAGCACAUGAUGACUAUUAAAAUUAUAAAUAAGACCAAUAAUCAAUAAUGGUCAAUAAAAAUGUAGUUUUUGCUGAUUUAGUUGUAUUUUUUUGUAUUUAUUUAUCAUCUAUUUAUUUUAAUGUAAAAAAAUAUAUCAAAAAAUAUAUAUUUUUAAAAAAAAGUAAAAAGAAAAAAUUCUUUAUUGCUGUUAGUUUUUUGCAAUAUUAUAAGCUUCAAAGUCUAAUAAAAUCUUAAAACAUAAGAAUACAAAAUCACAAUUCAUUCUUUUUGUAUUCUUACUUGAUAUAAAACAAAAAAUGUGGAUUGUAUGUAAAUGCUUACUAAAAUGGUAGCUUACUCAUGAAGCAUGAAUGCAAAUAAAUUAACAAAUAAAUAAGGUGUUUGCUAAUUAAUUGUCCUAAAUCUGAGAUAACAUUCUACUAUCUUGGCCCUGAUAGUUCAAGAGCUUGCAUGAAAGAAGAAUUAGAAUCUAAAUUCCAUCCCACAGGAAGAUGAGGCAUGUCUAAUGCUUCUUGGUUUCGUUGAACUUCUCUUUGCUCCCACUCUGCCCAUCGCUCUUCUAAGCCUUCUCCUUCUAGCAUAUUUACUACUUCACUCAUUUUUGGUCGAGAUGUAGGAUUAUUCUCCGUACACAACAAUGCAACCUAUUCAUUCAAACAAAAUUAGGUAUCACAAACUUAACAGAACAUUUUAAUAUAUUAGAUUUUGUUAAUAAGAUUAAAAAUGUUGAAAACAAAUUAAUCAAUAUAAAUAUAUUAAAUAAUUACUUUAUAGAUUAGUUUAAUGUAAUUACAAAUAUUAAUAAUAAUAACUAUAGAUUUCAUAUAAACUAUUCAAAAUUCUCUACAAUAAAAAUCAUGUAUUAUUUAUUAAUUUAUAAAAAAGUCUUAUAAAUUAAUAAAAUAAUUGAAAUUUUAUGGAGUUAAGAACUCACCUUUAGCAACUCUUUAAUAUCAUUCAUGUUGUACUCUUUUAAGUGAGGAUCUAUCAUUUUCUCCACAUUAUUUUCUUUUUCCAAUUUUCGCACCUACACAAUAGAAAGAUAAAAAGGGAAAAAACAAGUAAAAGUUAAUAUAAAACAAAACGUCUUAAGUGAUUUCUUUUCUCAAUUUAAAUUUUAAAAAUUAAAAAUUUUGAUAACUUUAAGAUUGUAAAUUCUUAAUUUUUUUGACGUAAGAAGCAAUAAAGAAAGGCAACACAAGAGAAAAGGUUAAGAAACUUACCCAAUCCAAAAGCAUCACAUCAUCAUCUGCCAAGCGAGAUAAGUUUAGAGCACUUUGUCCAGUAAUUAAUUGUAGCAAUGUAAUUCCAUACCCAUAUACAUCUGUUUUUUCUGAUGACUUUCCACUUGACAUGUACUCCGGAGCAAUAUGGCCAAUUGUUCCUCGAAUUGCUGUAGUAACAUGUGUAUUUUUAAAAUCAAUAGGCUUUGCCAAGCCGAAAUCUCCGACCACAGCUUCAAAUUCAUCAUCCAAAAGAAUAUUGUCAGCUUUGACAUCACGAUGAAUAAUCUUAGGAUUACAUUGUUCAUGCAAAUAUGCAAGACCUUUAGCUGCUCCUAGAGCAAUACGUUUCCGCAUUUGACAAGUCAUAGCAGGUGCUCCAUGGUCAGUUUCUGCAACCAUUACAAAGAAAAACAAAACAAAAAAAUAAAUUAGUUAAGUAAUGUUGAAAAUUUUACCUGUUUAUAUUCUUAAAUAAUAAUGCUAAAUUGUUACUAAAAAUUGAUCUUACAAUAAGAUCCACAAAGCACAUGUUUAAAAUAAUAAAUUCUAUUAUUCCAAAAAUUUAUUGCUAAUCCAAACUAACACAACGUAAGAAUUUUUAUUGGUAUAAAUUAUUAUUUUACAUAACACUAUGUAGAAAUUUUAAAAUAUUAGAUUAACACAAGAAGGUUUUUCUUGGUCAAAGAAAAUACUUUUUAAUUGAAAAGAAACACUUCUGUUUGCCAUAUAAGGAUAUACAAGUAAUCGCUCUGUAGGAGUUGUGCACAAGCCAUAUAGUCGCAAUAAGUUUCGAUGUGAUGCCAUGCUUAUAAUUUCAACCUAAAGAACCAUCCAACAAGUAUUAAAUUAGUUAAUCUAAGUUAAGACAAAACUUUACAUUUACAUAACUAAAUUUACAAGAAUCACAUUUCAUAAUAUAUGAUAACCAUUUAUAAAGCUAACUAGAGUAAUACAUCCAAAUAAAUAUUUAAUUACAAAAUCUUUUUUAAAUAUAUUAUUUUAUCAACCUAUAAGUAGAAGUGUAUAGCUAUUUUGAAGUAUUAUUAACAAGUAUAUGUUUUUCUUCAAACUACUAAAUCACAUAUGAAUGCUAAGGUAUAAAAAAAAAUAUCCAUGUGUACAAUAUUUAUAUUAAUCAAUCAUCUAUUAAUUAAAAUAAAAAAGUAAAUACAUCUAUUUAAAUAAGAUAAAAAUCUAAUCUUAUUGUAAAUAGGCAAGACAAUGUUUACCUCAGUUUGAAAUUGUUUUUCAUUUCCAAUGCUACGACUUUCCAAUUUAAGACGCUUGAUUGCCAAUUGAGUUCCAUCAGAUAAUACUCCCUUGUAUACAAUACCAAAUCCACCACGUCCUAUUUCAUUCCUACUACUAAAAUUCUCAGUUGCAUUUUUUAGUUGUGAAAGAGUAAAGCGUGUCAAUUGUCCUAAGUUUACUCGAGUAUCUUCUUCUGCUGUAAUUGCCAAAUCACACCACAUCAAUUAGUUCUUAUAUAUAUUACACUUUAGAAAUCUAUACAUGUCACAUACAAACAAAAACUAUACAUACUAAUAUUAACAUCUAAAUGUUAAUAAGAUUUAAAACUAAAUGUAAGACUUCAUGUAACAUUUAUUUCUAUAGUUUUUAAAUAUAUUUUAAGUUUUUAGUUUAUUUUAUAAAAAAAAAUAUUAGUUUGAAGGUCUUAUUUCAAUUAAUCUCAAAUAAAUACACAAACACACAUAUUUGUAUGCGAAGAAAGUCUUACCAUUUAAAGAUAACACAUAAUAAUAUUCUUAUUGGUUUUAUUUAUAAUAAGUAAAAUUAUUAAUAAAUCUACUUACUUUUAUAAUAAUUUAAAUUUUAUUACUAUGUCUUAGAUAAUUCAAUGAUUUUUGUGAUUAAAAUUUCUAUUUAAGACCUCACCAGGCACAUCAAAGAAGGCAUCACUAGGAUGGCGUCGCUUGCACCAAAAGCACAAACCACCAACACUUGCAAGAAACACAAUACCUCCAAGUGCUCCUCCUAUUAUAGGUCCUACAAUCAUAAAAGUUCCACACAUUUAAUAUUAUUGAAUAAUAAUCACAUAGUCCAUAUGAUUUUCAAAUUAAAAAUAACCAAUUCACAUUACAAAUGAAAUUGAAUAAGUAAAAAUAACAACAUCUAUAUAUAUAUAUAUAUAUAUAUAUACACAUAUAUAUACAUAUAUAUAUAUAUAUAGAAAGAGAGAGAGAAAUACCUAUUGAAAUUGAUGUUGAACUUGAACGUGGUGGAUCACCAACACAUUGAUUUGCAAUUUGAUCUCCACAUAACAAAGGAUUCCCUGCAAAACUUUACAUAAAAAAAUGCCAUAAAGAUGUAAGAAUAAACACCAAAAUUAUACUUAUAUUCCAAAUUAUUAAAAAUUCAACUCAGAUAACAAGUCACAAUCAAGAAGUUUAGUGUACAUUUAAGAUGCAAGUUUUAUUAUAAUUUAGUAUAAUUAUUAAAAUAUUUGUAAAGUUAUAAUCCUUACUUGGAUGAAGAAGCAGUUCCAAAUACACCUGAAAUUGGAAUUCUCCCUGAUAGAUUAUUAAAUUCUAAGUGUCUGCAAAGAACCAUAGAAUACCACUAAUUAUCAAAACCUAUUUGUAUUACUUUAAAAUCUAGAUUGCAUUUUUAAUCAAAUAGAAAAAAGAAUCUAAUCAAGAUACUACUUGUACAAAAUUAGAAUCAUAUUAAUAUAAAUCUUCUUAACAUAUUUUAAAUUCCAAAUCUAAUAAUUAUAAAUUUAUUUAUUUAUGUUUUAUGUAUAGUUUUACUUCUAUACUUAAUUGAUUAUUCUCUAAUCUAUUUUUUUAUAAAAUAACAUAUCUUAACAUUCCACUUUAAUUAAAUUUGAAAAGUCUUAAACAUAAAAGUUUAGUUAAAUGCACUUACAUAUCACGAAGAUUAGGAAGGGCAGCAAGUUCUAUUGGAAUAGAUCCUGAAAGGUGAUUAUUGUUCAAUUUACUACACAAACAUCACCACCAAAGUAAAAAAUCAAUUAGAAACUAUGUCCAAAAAUGAAGUACUUGGUUAUUUUUUACUUAAAAAAAUUAUAACUAUAGUGAUACCUAUCUAUUACAAAUCAUUAAAAAACUACAUUGACCAAGUUUUAUACAUGUACUCUUUGGUUCCAAGCUAAAGAAAACAUUAUACUAGUUAAUUAAAUAUAUAUAUGUUAAAAUAGCUUCUUAAAAAUAUAAAUAAAAUAAAUUAGUUUAAAGAGAAAUCAAACUUACAGAACGUUUAAUUUAGUGAGAUUGCCCAAAGUACUUGGAAUGGAUCCAGAAAGAUAAUUAUUGGAAAGGUCUAAAAAGAUAAGUUCUGAAAGGUCCCCCAAUGCUUCAGGUAUACUUCCAUUGAAGUGAUUAUCAGAAAGAAUCCUUCAAAAAAAAUAUAUAUAUAAUUUUAAUCUUAAAACAAAAUACAUAUAUACAUAUGAUAUAAUAUUUUAUGAUAAAUAUUUAAAUUAAUGCUUUAAAAUAAUAUUCAUAAAAACACACUUCCAACAAUGGAUUCAAAUAUAAGUAAAAGUAAUGUAUAUAAAUAAAUAAUAUACAUGCCAAAUUUUAUGUCUAAAUAAGUCGCAAUCUCUUUUGCAAUAAAGGAUCAAGAACUUGGAAAAUUGCAUUAUAAAAUUCACUCCUACAAGCUUACAUUUUAACACAAGCAAAUUUUGAUACUUACAAUGAAUUCAAUCUUUUGAUUUGUCCAAAUUCAGGUGUCAAUGUCCCUGUCAAAUUAGAACUUCCAAGACCUCUACAAUAAAAAUCACAAAGGUGUUAAUUAGAUACUUUUAAACCAUUUUAAAAGUAGAUAAAUUAAUCAAAGAAUUCAAGAAUUCAAAAAAACACAACAAAAUAAUCAAUUCUGUGAUUUUAAUUUUUAAAUCUAAUACUAUUCAAUUAAGUAAAUUCUACAUUUAUUAACAUAAAUAAGUUUUACAUAAAUAUUUCAAAAAAAUCAAAGUACAUAUAUUUGACAAGAGUAUAUCAAGUGUAUAGCCUCACAUUCGUAUCACAAAUCCAUCUGGAUCACAAGAAACUUGGUCCCAUGGAUUUGUAUUGAAACAGGGAUCACUUCCUGACCAAGUUCUUAGCUUAUCAUUUGGAUAUUCCAAUUGUGCUUUCCAAUCAAUCAAUAUUUUUCCUACAAUAACAUUUACAAGUUGUCAAAUCAUAUGCAUUAAAAUAUUUUGUCUUUUAUUCUAAUAAAAACAUAAACCUAAAAUACAACAUGACAAAUCAUAAUAUCAAUCAAUUAAUAACCAACAAAAAAAACACCACUAAACUCAAGUUGCAUUUUAUACUAUAUUAUAAUUCAAACUUGCAUACUUCCAAAAAAAAUACAAUAAAACAAAACAAGAUCCCAUUUAUAUAGGCAAAAUCUUCUAAUAAAGUAAAUAAAUAAGAUACUAAAAAAGUUACAACUUUUUGUGUAUUUGCUCAUUUCUACCGCAAAAGAAUAAUCAACAUUUUAAAAUAUCAAGGUCUAAUUCAAAACACUAUGCUACCAAAUUGAUAUCACAAUUGACCAAAAUCUUGCCUUGUAUAAACAACCACUCAAAACCAAUAUAUUGAGGCCCAAGGAACUAACUAUGGCAUAUGUUCAUCACAAGCCCUGAACUUGGGAUGUAAAUCAACUCAAAGCCAUCUCUGAUGAAGAUUCAGAAGAUGCACUCUGUUAGCCACAAGUCCCGUUGCAUUCAAUCAGGCUCUGCUGGAAUUGUCAUCCCCUAUCACUAGAAAAGCUUUCACUCUGAAGCCAUCAUUUGAUGCAUCUGGGUGUGAUGUGAGUAUGUAUAUAAACAUGUAUAUAAACACGCACAGCCAUGGCUCCAACGUGGAUGACCUGGUACUGUGGUCGAUCGAUUAGGGCUAAGGUCUGUGACACCUCAUCCCACCACCACCACCACAGAAAGGACAGGAAGCCCUACCACCACGAUACCCCCCCCCCCUCCCCAAUACAUACAUCCUCAUGGCUUGACUAUGGCUUGCCCGCUGCACCACGCCGACGGUCAUGGGGCUCUCUCCCUCACCACGUAUCCCUCCCCACCCUACCCAUGACCACGACCAUUCCAGCAUCCCAAAUCACCGACCUUGCAGCAGCAGCAGCAGCCUCGUGAAACUACUACUACCCCCGAGAGCCUACGAAGAUUUCGUUCCUAUUCGACCCUCCUCGCUGCCACCGUUCUAUUCCUUCCUUCCUUCCUUCCUUGUCUCCCACUCCUACUACUACUUGCAUCAGCUUACCACAAGUUCGUCCUAGGCAACCAUGUACGCAUGCACCUACCUCACACAUGACCUUUACAAAUUCAACCCAUGGAGAAACAGCGAACCUUCUUCCACAGUCGCGCGAACUCCAUUCGACAAGCACAGCAGUAGCAAACACCAGCACUGCAAGCCCUGGCGAUGAAGAGACUGCAUCCUUUACUCCAGCCACCACACCCCAACCCCGCCUCCUCCUUCCCCGACCAAUACCGCUAACGGCACUUCUCCAGCUUCGUCACUCCACUUCAUUCACCCGCAUGCUCUAGUCUUCUCUUUGCCCACACCUCCGACACCACCACACAACAGCACCGCCGAUCCCUACCCCAACCAAACAAAGUUCUCGCAAAGCACCGACCUCCGUCCGCAUCCCGUAAGAAUCCUUCUCCACUUCCUCGAGAUCCUCAAUCUCCGCAAAAAUAGAAACCCUCGGCUAACGCUCUUAGCUUCCACCAGGUGCCGAUCGACGACCACUCGAAACCGAUUAAACUAUUCCAACCUGUGUCCGAACGAACAUGCGGAAUGAGUUUCGACCACAGUUCAACGCAAAUGCAGCGUCAUCAGUCCAGCACGGCAACAAGGAACGUGCAAGCCCUCCAUUCAGAAACAGUACCGACAGCUCUACGCGGGGAAACGAAUCUGCUUACCCCUUCUCUCUGACACUGCAACUGUACUCAAAUCCUUCCUUCCCCGAAGCAUGUCGCCUCUUCUGUCAUCCAAAAUGGUGUCCUCCCUCGUUGUUUCCGUUUCUAGAUGCUUCACCUUGGUUACUUUCGCUUCAUUGGCCUGAUUAUGACCUAAGGAUGCGUCGCCGCCGAGGGCUGCCUACGACGUCGACCAUUUCCGCUCCACUCCCGAGAUAAUGUGUAUCAUGUGUGUCCAUCUGUCUCUCUCGAUCUGGUUAACUGCCAGCUCUAUGCCCUUCUAGGCCUAAAUUAGAAAGCUUGAAGUUUUCCAAUUACUUUAAAAAUGACGGAUCGAAUUGAAUCAAAGCGCUGGUCAACGGAUAUUUUCAAUAUUUUUCAACAGACCAUCCAAAUUGGGUUUCGCAUGUUCGAUACUCUAUGCUGCGAAUUAGGGACCUAGUGACAAUUAGGGCUUGCACCUGUUUAUUUGUGGGAGGUGUUCGAUAUUAAUCGUGUGCAUGAGCUGGUGAAGGCACGGUCACUGGGUCAGGGUUAGGAUUAGAAUGGUGAAUGAGAGUGUGAAUUGAUUGCAAAUGCAGCCCAGCGGUGGGAUUGGAUUUUUCGAUGGGGUUAGAAGGGCAGCUCAGCCCCAGUUCAAGGGGGCUGAGUCCAACAUCUGUGCAAGAACUUUCGUCGACAUUAUAAUUUUUUUAUUUUUAUCUUAGUUCACUUUAUCCAAAUGCAGGAUGUGCACUCAUGACACACAGAGGUGGGGUAACUCUUGGAAUGGAUGCUCUGCUUAGUGUUCCCCUACUCUUGUGUGUGACCUGAUUUAUGUAUAUAUUUAUUUAUAUAGAUCACUAACAAAAACUUGUAUUUUUAAGCAUGGUCUUAUCACUUGAAAUUUGAAUUUAUUUUUUUAGAAAUAAUUCAUGUGAUCAAAAUUUAAUACUUUAAUUAACAGAUUGUAAACAAAAUAUAAGGUGAUAAGAUAACAUUGGAUUCUUAUGUUGUCAAAGAAGUCAAGAAAUGGUGACAAUCUAUACUUUACAAAAUCACAGUAAAAGGAGUUUUACUUUUAGCGGACAAAGUGAGAAGCCGCAACUUUCAUAGGUUGUGAUUGGUAGAAAUAAGAAAGUCUUUUUUGAUUUGCGUUACACUUCCGAAGAAUAAAAAAUUUGUGAAAAGAAAAAAAAUAAAAUGAAGUAGAAUCUGAUUUUCACAACAUUUUUUUUUUCCUCCAAUCACUGAGAAAAAGCCUAGUAAUAAUUUUCCCAAAAAUUUAAGAAGAUGUAUCAAGAGAACUAAAAAUACCAAAUUUAAAUAAUUCUUUUCGAAAUUUAAAUAAUUCUUUCUGAACUACCAUAUUCUAUUAUAGCUAAAAAAUAAAAAUAAUCCAUAUAGUGUACCUUUUUUCAAUUCAUAUCAUCUCUAAAAACUAAGGCUUUUGGUGUACAAAUUUUCUUUUUUAAUUGAAAGACCACCUGGCAAAGCUAAUGAGGAACCCAGAGAAGAAGGGAACAGACAGAGACGAGUAAGAUGGGGAUACGUGGAUGAAUAAAUGUGUUCCGAUGCCAUCGUCAUCCACCAGGACCUACCAAGCAGUGUUUUAUCAUCCAUCCAUCCCAGCCUCAUAGAAGCACCACUGCCAACACUGAGCCUCUCUCUCACCGCUGGACUCUCUGCUACCGCCAUUCUCCACCUGUACUAAACAUAUUCCACGUGGUGCAAAACUCGCUCCCACCAAGCCGCCAUAGUCAUCGAAGUUGGUGUCCAUGCGAGUAAAACGUGCGCGCGCAUUUCUAGACAAGGGUUUGCGAAGUUGCAGAAGGUCAUGAUUUUGCCAUCGUUGACGAGUUGGGGAGUUUUGUGGUUCGGUGCUGGCUGUGAGGUGCGAGAUCGGCAGUCUAACGACAUCUCAGGGUUGGCAAGUGUCUGAGGUCAACAACAUUGCCUACGAUCGCCAUUGAGGAACGCUUCGCUCACGUGUACCUAUCGCUCACCUACAUAAUUUGUAACGCCUGUGUCCGGCGAUGACUUGAAAGACCCUAACCCUGGACACAGAAGGCAGGUGUCGGAUUGUUUUGGCGUGAUGGCAAGUUUCUCAAUGAUGUGUCUACGCGGUCAGUUGCUAGGGUUCCCGCAAGGAUGUUUCCUGCGUGAUAAUAUCUCCCAGCAAUUUCUCUGUGAGGGCUCAACGCGGUCGCCGGUUUUUGUUACAGAAUCUCCGGGUAGUGAGAAGAGGAUCUGAUCUUGUUGGGUUCUUCGAAUAGCUAAGUGGUGGAUUGUUCGAGGAGAUAAUGGAGUUGCUUGGUGCACCGGAUUGACAGAGAUGUACAAAAACGUUUUGCAACUAUCAAACUUUUUUUCUUCGAUAUUUUGCAGUAUUGAUGUGUUGAAUGAAGAUUGAAGCAUGCAUGGUUUACCAUUGCUCCAGCUAAUAACAUGAAUACAUGAGUUCGUUAAUAACAAUUGUACUCAAGAAACUAUGCAAAUGACACUAUGUUGCAUUCUUAGACUUUGCGUUUGUGUAUUUAACUCCAUUAUAAAAAAUUCAUAGAACAAGAUUUUAGAACACAUGUAAAAGAUUCAAACAUCUUCAUAGUGAUUUAUAGUUGAUAACCUGCUUGUAC